Molecule: ribosomal RNA, 492 nt
Filed under: uncultured bacterium
Lineage: Bacteria
Description: partial 16S ribosomal RNA
Rfam family: Bacterial small subunit ribosomal RNA
Source: RNAcentral
AGUGAACGCUGGCGGUAGGCCUAACACAUGCAAGUCGAACGGCAGCACAGUAAGAGCUUGCUCUUACGGGUGGCGAGUGGCGGACGGGUGAGGAAUACAUCGGAAUCUACUUUUUCGUGGGGGAUAACGUAGGGAAACUUACGCUAAUACCGCAUACGACCUACGGGUGAAAGCAGGGGACCUUCGGACCUUGCGCGAUUGAAUGAGCCGAUGUCGGAUUAGCUAGUUGGCGGGGUAAAGGCCCACCAAGGCGACGAUCCGUAGCUGGUCUGAGAGGAUGAUCAGCCACACUGGAACUGAGACACGGUCCAGACUCCUACGGGAGGCAGCAGUGGGGAAUAUUGGACAAUGGGCGCAAGCCUGAUCCAGCCAUACCGCGUGGGUGAAGAAGGCCUUCGGAUUGUAAAGCCCUUUUGUUGGGAAAGAAAAGCAGCAGGUUAAUACCCCGCUGUUCUGACGGUACCCAAAGAAUAAGCACCGGCUAACUUCGUG